This 4949-nucleotide long non-coding RNA is filed under the name Prunus persica (peach). Its description in RNAcentral is "long non-coding RNA (PPER_LNC002818)". The record is from RNAcentral. Lineage: Eukaryota; Viridiplantae; Streptophyta; Magnoliopsida; Rosales; Rosaceae.
AAUUAUCACCCACGACACGACCUGACCACCCCAUCCUCGCCCACAGAAAAAGUGCACAAAAUAAAUAAUUUCUAUUUACUAAGUCUUUUGUGAAAUUGUUUGGGUGUCCUAAUUAAAUUUAUCCACAGUCCAAGAGCCCUAUUCAUUACUAUUAGGCCAUUACUCGAGUAUCUAUUGUCCCUUUUUUAUUUUUUACUUUUCCAGAGUUAUUACCUGUGUAAAGAUUCUAGCACAUUCACGUUUAAUAAUGUAUUAUACACGUGGGCACGUAUUUGUCAUUUUUAGUACACCUAUUUUUUACAAUAAUUUUAAUAAGACACACAAAAUUCACGCCUUUUCGAUUUUUUAUUUCUAUAAUUUUUUAUUAUUAAAUAGUAUGCGGCUAUACUACGAUUUUUUAUUUCUAUAAUCUUUUUUCAUAAAACAGUACAGCCAAACGGCUAUACUCCCUUUUUUAUUUUUUUCCAAAUCGACCUUGUGAUGACACGUGGCGCCUAGUGGGUGGGGUUCCUCUUUUUUUCUUUAAAAAUAGUAUAGCCGCGCGGCUAUACCCAGUUUUCAGUUUUUAUUUGUUAUUUCUUUAAUAUUUGUAUUUGUUAAAUAGUAUAGCCGCACGGCGAUACUACUUUUUUCAGAAAAAAAUGAUGUUUGACACGUGGCGCUAAAAAGAGGGAGGGUCUUUUCUUUUUUUAUAAAACAGUACAGCCGAACGGCUAUACUCCCUUUUUUAUUUCUUUCCCAAAUGGACCGUGUGAUGACACGUGGCGCCUACUGGGUGCGGUUCCUCUUUUUAUCUUUAAAAAUAGCAUAGCCGCGCGGCUAUACUCAGUUUUUAUUUUUUAUUUUUUUAACCUUUGUGUUUAUUAAAUCGUAUAGCCGUGCGGCUAUACUUCGAUUUUUUUAUAAAAAUUGUUGUUUGGCACGUGGCGCUAAAAGAAGGAGGGUCUGUUCUUUUUUUCAAAAUAGUACAGCCGCACGGCUAUACGCCCUGGUUUUUUUUUUUUUUUAAAUUUUGUUCCCAAAUGGACCUUGUGAUGACACGUGGCGCCUAGUGGGUUGGGUUCCUCCUUUUAUCUUAAAAAAUAGUAUAGCCGAGCGGCUAUACCCAGUUUUCAGUUUUUAUUUUUUAUUUCUUUCAUAUUUGUAUUUACUAAAUAGUAUCGCCGCGCGGCUAUACUACUUUUUCAGAAAAAAAUAAUGUUUGACACGUGGCGCUAAAAAGUGGGAGGGUCUUUUCUUUUUUUAUAAAACAGUACAGCCGAACGGCUAUACUCCCUUUUUUAUUUUUUUCCCAAGUGGACCUUGUGAUGACACGUGGGGCCUAGUGGGUGGGGUUCCUCUUUUUAUCUUUAAAAAUAGUAUGGCCGCGCGGCUAUACCCAGUUUUUGUAAUUUUGUUUCUUUAUUCUUUGUAUUUAUUAAAUUGUAUAACCGUGCGGCUAUACUAGGAUUUUUAAGAAAAAAAAUCAUGUUUGACACGUGGCGCUAAAAGAGGGAGGGUCUUUUCUUUCUUUUUUUUUCAAAAUAGUACAGCCGCACGGCUGUACACCCUCUAAUGGUCUUCUACAUAUAUGUUCAAAAAGUUCUUUUACACAUUUUGGAAUUAAUAUAUACUAUAUCUUUGAUAUAAUAUUAUAUUUUGAUCAAUCUUCCAAUCGAACCAUGGUAUCUAAAACAGAUCAAGCAAAAUUAGCACAUUCGUCAUAUAACUACCUAAAAAUGUAAAAGGGGAUUUUAUUAAUUAAAUUGGGUUACGUACAUAUUUUUCAAUAAUACAUUCGUGUUCUAUACACGUCUCACGGUUUUUGAAAAGCAAACAUACAAUAGUCGUAUUGUACAUGUACAUACAAUUUCUAAUAUUUUAUACACGUAGUUUUUACAAAAAUUUCAAUAAGACACACAAAAUUCCCGUAUUAUACAAAUAAUUCUCACAUGUUAUGGAAUAAGAAUAACAUAUGUUAUAAAAAUUAUAUGAAAACAUCAUAUAGUGGAAGAUUAAUAUCUACUUUGGAUAUGUUGAAACUAGCAAAUUAAUAUUUCUAAGGUACAAACUAAUGCAAUUAGGAUGGUCCUUUUCGAUUUUUUAUUUAUUAUUUAUUUAACCUUUGUAUUUAUUAAAUAGUAUAGCCGUUCGGCCAUACUUCGAUUUUUAUAAAAGAUAAUGUUUGACACGUGGCGCUAAAAGCGGGAGGGUCUUUUCCUUUUUUCGGAAUCGUACAGCCGCACGGCUAUACUUUCUUUUUUAUUUUUUUUUUCCCAAAUGGACCUUGUGAUGACACGUGGCGCCUAGUGGGUGGGGUUCCUCUGUUUUUAUCUUUAAAAAUAGUGCCGCGCGGCUAUUCUCAAUUUUUAUUUUUUAUUUCUUUAACCUUUGUGUUUAUUAAAUAGUAUGGCCGCGCGGCUAUACUCAGUUUUUCUUUUUUAUUUCUUUCAUCUAUGUAUUUAUUAAAUGCUAUACUUCGAUUUUUUAUAAAAAUUGUUGUUUGACACGUGGCGCUAAAAGGACAAAAUAGUACAGCCGCACGGCUAUACUCCCUGGUUUUUUUUUUUUUUUUUUUCCCAAAUGGACCUUGUGAUGACACGUGGCGCCUAGUGGGUUGGGUUCCUCUUUUUAUCUUUAAAAAUAGUAUGGCCGCGCGGCGAUACCCAGUUUUCAGUUUUUAUUUUUUAUUUCUUUAAUAUUUGUAUUUAUUAAACAGUAUAGCCGCGCGGCUAUACUACUUUUUUAGAAAAAAAAUAAUGUUUGACAUGUGGCGCUAAAAAGAGGGAGGGUUUUUUCUUUUUUUGCAACCAGUACAGCCGCACGGCGAUACUCCCUUUUUUAUUUUAUUUUUCCCCAAAUGGACCUUGUGAUGACACGUGGCGGCUAGUGGGUGGGGCUCCUCUUUUUAUCUUUAAAAAUAGUAUAGCCGCGCGGCUAUACCCAGUUUUUAUAUUUUGUUUCUUUAUUCUAUGUAUUUAUUAAAUUGUAUAACCGUUCGGCUAUACUAGGAUUUUUAGGAAAAAAAAUAAUGUUUGACACGUGGCGCUAAAAAGAUGGAGGGUCUUUUCUUUUUUUAUAAACCAGUACAGCCGAACGGCCAUACUCCCUUUUUUUUUUUUUUCCCCAAACGGACCUUGUGAUGACACGUGGCGGCUACUGGGUGGGGCUUUAUCUUUAAAAAUAGUAUAGCCGCGCGGCUAUACCCAGUUUUUAUAUUUUGUUUCUUUAUUCUUUGUAUUUAUUAAAUUGUAUAACAGUGCGGCUAUACUAGGAUAUUUAGGAAAAAAAAUAAUGUUUGACACGUGGCGCUAAAAGAGGGAGGGUCUGUUCUUUUUUUCAAGAUAGUACAGCCGAACGGCUAUACUUCCCUUUUUUUAUUUUGUUCCCACAUGGACCUUCUAGUGGGUGGGGUUCCUCUUUUUAUCUUCAAAAAUAGUAUAGCCGCUCGGCUAUACCCAGUUUUCACUUUUUAUUUUUUAUUUCUUUAAUAUUUGUAUUUGUUAAUUAGUAUAGCCGCACGGCGAUACUACUUUUUCCAGAAAAACAAUGUUUGACACGUGGCGCUAAAAAGAGGGAGGGUCUUUUCUUUUUUUAUAAAACAGUACAGCCGAAUGGCUAUACUCCCUUUUUUAUUUGUUUCCCAAAUGGACCUUGUGAUGACACGUGGGGCCUAGUGGGUGGGGUUCCUCUUUUUAUCCUUAAAAAUAGUCAGUUUUUAUUUUUUAUUUCUUUAACCUUUGUGUUUAUUAAAUAGUAUAGCCGUUCGGCUAUACUUCGAUUUUUUAUAAAAAAGUUGUUUGACACGUGGCGCUAAAAGAAGGAGGGUCUGUUCUUUUUUUCAAAAUAGUACCGCCGCACGGCUAUAGUCCCUUUUUUUUUUUUUUCUGUUUUUUUCCCAAAUGGACCUUGUGAUGACACGUGGCGGCUAGUGGGUGGGGUUCCUCUUUUUAUCUUUAAAAAUAGUAUAGCCGCGCGGCCAUACGCCCUGUUUUUUUUGUUUUUUUUUCCCAAAUGGACCUUGUGAUGACACGUAGCGGCUAGUGGGUGGGGUUCCUUAUCUUUAAAAAUAGUAUAGCCGCGCGGCUAUACUCAAUUUUUAUUUUUUAUUUUUUUACCUUUGUAUUUAUUAAACAGUAUAGCCGCGCGGCUAUACGCAGUUUUUCUUUUUUAUUUUUUUCAUCUUUAUAUUUAUUCAAUAGUGUAGCCAGUCGCUAUACUUCGAUUUCUAUGAAAAAUAAUGUUUGACACGUGGCGCUAAAACAGGAAGGGUCUGUUCUUUUUUUCAAAAUAGUACAGCCGCACGGCUAUACUGCCUUUUUUUUUUUGUUCCCAGAUGGACCUUCUAGUGGGUGGGGUUCCUCUUUUUAUCUUUAAAAAUAGUAUAGCCGCUCGGCUAUACCCAGUUUUCAGUUUUUAUUUUUUAUUUCUUUAAUAUUUGUAUUUGUUAAAUAGUAUAGCCGCACGGCUAUACUACUUUUUUUAAAAAAAACAAUGUUUGACACGUGGCGCUAAAAAGAGGGAGGGUCUUUUCUUUUUUUUUAUAAAACAGUACAGCCGAACGGCUAUACUCCCUUUUUUAUUUUUUUCCCCAAAUGGACCUUGUGAUGACACGUGGGGCCUAGUGGGUGGGGUUCUCUUUUUAUCUUUGAAAAUAGUAUAGCCGCGCGGCUAUACUCUGUUUUUAUUUUUUAUUUCUUUAACCUCUGUGUUUAUUAAAUAGUAUAGCCGUGCGGCUAUACUUCGAUUUUUUUAUAAAAAAGUUGUUUGACACGUGGCGCUAAAAGUAGAGAAGCUGCCACCCGACCAGCCCAGGCACCCUGGGCGUGCGCCCAAGCGUGGCCUACCUAACUCCUUGGCGCCUGCCCCUAACGUUUAGGGUGAACUCGCAACGGUGUUCUCCCGCCUAGCGCCUAGGUGCCUCCUAGGUCGAUUUUUUAGAGUUUCUUCUUCUUCUUCUUUUGUGGUUU